RNAcentral lists this ribosomal RNA (501 nucleotides) under uncultured bacterium. RNAcentral's name for it is "partial 16S ribosomal RNA". It matches the Rfam family "Bacterial small subunit ribosomal RNA", at positions 30 to 523 of the family's 1533-position model. The record is from RNAcentral.
AUUGAACGCUGGCGGCAUGCCUUACACAUGCAAGUCGAACGGCAGCACGGGUGCUUGCACCUGGUGGCGAGUGGCGAACGGGUGAGUAAUACAUCGGAACGUACCUUAUCGUGGGGGAUAACGCAGCGAAAGCUGUGCUAAUACCGCAUACGCCCUGAGGGGGAAAGCGGGGGACCGUAAGGCCUCGCGCAAUUAGAGCGGCCGAUACCUGAUUAGCUAGUUGGUGAGGUAAAGGCUCACCAAGGCAACGAUCAGUAGCUGGUCUGAGAGGACGAUCAGCCACACUGGGACUGAGAAACGGCCCAGACUCCUACGGGAGGCAGCAGUGGGGAAUUUUGGACAAUGGGGGCAACCCUGAUCCAGCAAUGCCGCGUGAGUGAAGAAGGCCUUCGGGUUGUAAAGCUCUUUUGUCAGGGAAGAAACAGCAGCUCUAACACAGUUUGCGAAUGACGGUACCUGAAGAAUAAGCACCGGCUAACUACGUGCCAGCCGCCGCCGUAA